CCUACGGGAGGCUGCAGUGGGGAAUAUUGCACAAUGGGGGAAACCCUGAUGCAGCGACGCCGCGUGAGUGAAGAAGUAAUUCGUUACGUAAAGCUCUAUCAGCAGGGAAGAAACACUGACCUUACGGUCAGCAGACGGUACCUGAGUAAGAAGCCCCGGCUAACUACGUGCCAGCAGCCGCGGUAAUACGUAGGGGGCAAGCGUUAUCCGGAUUUACUGGGUGUAAAGGGAGCGUAGACGGCAGCGCAAGUCUGAAGUGAAAUGCCGGGGCUUAACCCCGGAACUGCUUUGGAAACUGUGCAGCUAGAGUGCAGGAGAGGUAAGUGGAAUUCCUAGUGGAGCGGUGAAAUGCGUAGAUAUUAGGAGGAACACCAGUGGCGAAGGCGGCUUACUGGACUGUAACUGACGUUGAGGCUCGAAAGCGUGGGGAGCAAACAGGAUUAGAUACCCUUGUAGUC
RNAcentral lists this ribosomal RNA (458 nucleotides) under uncultured bacterium. Its description in RNAcentral is "partial 16S ribosomal RNA". It matches the Rfam family "Bacterial small subunit ribosomal RNA", at positions 338 to 795 of the family's 1533-position model. The record is from RNAcentral.